AGCGUACACGGUGGAUGCCCUGGCAGUCAGAGGCGAUGAAGGACGUGCUAAUCUGCGAUAAGCGUCGGUAAGGUGAUAUGAACCGUUAUAACCGGCGAUUUCCGAAUGGGGAAACCCAGUGUGAUUCGUCACACUAUCAUUAACUGAAUCCAUAGGUUAAUGAGGCGAACCGGGGGAACUGAAACAUCUAAGUACCCCGAGGAAAAGAAAUCAACCGAGAUUCCCCCAGUAGCGGCGAGCGAACGGGGAGCAGCCCAGAGCCUGAAUCAGUGUGUGUGUUAGUGGAAGCGUCUGGAAAGGCGUGCGAUACAGGGUGACAGCCCCGUACACAAAAAUGCACAUGCUGUGAGCUCGAUGAGUAGGGCGGGACACGUGGUAUCCUGUCUGAAUAUGGGGGGACCAUCCUCCAAGGCUAAAUACUCCUGACUGACCGAUAGUGAACCAGUACCGUGAGGGAAAGGCGAAAAGAACCCCGGCGAGGGGAGUGAAAAAGAACCUGAAACCGUGUACGUACAAGCAGUGGGAGCACGCUUAGGCGUGUGACUGCGUACCUUUUGUAUAAUGGGUCAGCGACUUAUAUUCUGUAGCAAGGUUAACCGAAUAGGGGAGCCGAAGGGAAACCGAGUCUUAACUGGGCGUUAAGUUGCAGGGUAUAGACCCGAAACCCGGUGAUCUAGCCAUGGGCAGGUUGAAGGUUGGGUAACACUAACUGGAGGACCGAACCGACUAAUGUUGAAAAAUUAGCGGAUGACUUGUGGCUGGGGGUGAAAGGCCAAUCAAACCGGGAGAUAGCUGGUUCUCCCCGAAAGCUAUUUAGGUAGCGCCUCGUGAAUUCAUCUCCGGGGGUAGAGCACUGUUUCGGCAAGGGGGUCAUCCCGACUUACCAACCCGAUGCAAACUGCGAAUACCGGAGAAUGUUAUCACGGGAGACACACGGCGGGUGCUAACGUCCGUCGUGAAGAGGGAAACAACCCAGACCGCCAGCUAAGGUCCCAAAGUCAUGGUUAAGUGGGAAACGAUGUGGGAAGGCCCAGACAGCCAGGAUGUUGGCUUAGAAGCAGCCAUCAUUUAAAGAAAGCGUAAUAGCUCACUGGUCGAGUCGGCCUGCGCGGAAGAUGUAACGGGGCUAAACCAUGCACCGAAGCUGCGGCAGCGACGCUUAUGCGUUGUUGGGUAGGGGAGCGUUCUGUAAGCCUGUGAAGGUGUACUGUGAGGUAUGCUGGAGGUAUCAGAAGUGCGAAUGCUGACAUAAGUAACGAUAAAGCGGGUGAAAAGCCCGCUCGCCGGAAGACCAAGGGUUCCUGUCCAACGUUAAUCGGGGCAGGGUGAGUCGACCCCUAAGGCGAGGCCGAAAGGCGUAGUCGAUGGGAAACAGGUUAAUAUUCCUGUACUUGGUGUUACUGCGAAGGGGGGACGGAGAAGGCUAUGUUGGCCGGGCGACGGUUGUCCCGGUUUAAGCGUGUAGGCUGGUUUUCCAGGCAAAUCCGGAAAAUCAAGGCUGAGGCGUGAUGACGAGGCACUACGGUGCUGAAGCAACAAAUGCCCUGCUUCCAGGAAAAGCCUCUAAGCAUCAGGUAACAUCAAAUCGUACCCCAAACCGACACAGGUGGUCAGGUAGAGAAUACCAAGGCGCUUGAGAGAACUCGGGUGAAGGAACUAGGCAAAAUGGUGCCGUAACUUCGGGAGAAGGCACGCUGAUAUGUAGGUGAAGUCCCUCGCGGAUGGAGCUGAAAUCAGUCGAAGAUACCAGCUGGCUGCAACUGUUUAUUAAAAACACAGCACUGUGCAAACACGAAAGUGGACGUAUACGGUGUGACGCCUGCCCGGUGCCGGAAGGUUAAUUGAUGGGGUCAGCGCAAGCGAAGCUCUUGAUCGAAGCCCCGGUAAACGGCGGCCGUAACUAUAACGGUCCUAAGGUAGCGAAAUUCCUUGUCGGGUAAGUUCCGACCUGCACGAAUGGCGUAAUGAUGGCCAGGCUGUCUCCACCCGAGACUCAGUGAAAUUGAACUCGCUGUGAAGAUGCAGUGUACCCGCGGCAAGACGGAAAGACCCCGUGAACCUUUACUAUAGCUUGACACUGAACAUUGAGCCUUGAUGUGUAGGAUAGGUGGGAGGCUUUGAAGUGUGGACGCCAGUCUGCAUGGAGCCGACCUUGAAAUACCACCCUUUAAUGUUUGAUGUUCUAACGUUGACCCGUGAUCCGGGUUGCGGACAGUGUCUGGUGGGUAGUUUGACUGGGGCGGUCUCCUCCUAAAGAGUAACGGAGGAGCACGAAGGUUGGCUAAUCCUGGUCGGACAUCAGGAGGUUAGUGCAAUGGCAUAAGCCAGCUUGACUGCGAGCGUGACGGCGCGAGCAGGUGCGAAAGCAGGUCAUAGUGAUCCGGUGGUUCUGAAUGGAAGGGCCAUCGCUCAACGGAUAAAAGGUACUCCGGGGAUAACAGGCUGAUACCGCCCAAGAGUUCAUAUCGACGGCGGUGUUUGGCACCUCGAUGUCGGCUCAUCACAUCCUGGGGCUGAAGUAGGUCCCAAGGGUAUGGCUGUUCGCCAUUUAAAGUGGUACGCGAGCUGGGUUUAGAACGUCGUGAGACAGUUCGGUCCCUAUCUGCCGUGGGCGCUGGAGAACUGAGGGGGGCUGCUCCUAGUACGAGAGGACCGGAGUGGACGCAUCACUGGUGUUCGGGUUGUCAUGCCAAUGGCACUGCCCGGUAGCUAAAUGCGGAAGAGAUAAGUGCUGAAAGCAUCUAAGCACGAAACUUGCCCCGAGAUGAGUUCUCCCUGACUCCUUGA
This 2787-nucleotide ribosomal RNA is filed under the name Escherichia coli. RNAcentral's name for it is "bacterial LSU rRNA". It matches the Rfam family "Bacterial large subunit ribosomal RNA". The record is from RNAcentral. Lineage: Bacteria; Pseudomonadati; Pseudomonadota; Gammaproteobacteria; Enterobacterales; Enterobacteriaceae.